UAAAAAAGUAUUCCGGUGAAAUUUUUGAACGAUUUGAUCCUACCAAUAAAAGGGAGAAAUGUCUAAUUUGAAUUCGAGUUCUGGGUUUUAUAAUGGGAUUAUAGAAUAAUCAUGAUUUGUUAAUAAAAUAUUAAAGUUUGUUACGUAAAUCAUUUAAAAUGUCGACUUGGAAUUAACAUUAGCUGAGCUGGAAAAAAAUCGUGAUAUAUUUUCAAAUACAAAAAUUAAACUAUAAACAAACAAGAGCAAACUAAAUCCGAUAAAAAAUUUAUAAACCUCAGCCUGAGACGAGCAAUUAGGUUACAACGGAUAUCAUCAGACAGACCUACCGAGUGACCUUAUUUGGUAACGAUCGGAUUAGAUUGCAAUCAAUCGACCAACGAGCCUGUAUGAGUAAAAUUAAUAUUAAUUUAUUAAUUAAUUAACAUUCUAAAACUAUAUCAAAGCCUAAAACUGGAUCUGAAACUAAAGCCCUUGAUCGAGGUCAUCAGAAAACAACCAGUUGACGUGGUCAUGGUGACGCAUUGUAUUAUAUCAACCAUUUUAUAUACAUUUACAUAGGAUGAAGUCAUUGCUAGCAUAUUUAAAUAGCAUCGUCAUAUUGCUAAUAGGUCCACCAACAAGUAUAUACACUAGGCGGCUCUUUCCAUGACACAGUAAAUAAAGAGUACAAAGCGCAUAUUUUA
Molecule: long non-coding RNA, 686 nt
Organism: Bombyx mori (domestic silkworm)
Lineage: Eukaryota; Metazoa; Arthropoda; Insecta; Lepidoptera; Bombycidae
Exons: 2
Source: RefSeq, a predicted model, not a curated record